This 85-nucleotide unclassified non-coding RNA is filed under the name Chryseobacterium rhizoplanae. RNAcentral describes it as "Flavo-1 RNA". The record is from RNAcentral. Lineage: Bacteria; Pseudomonadati; Bacteroidota; Flavobacteriia; Flavobacteriales; Weeksellaceae.
UCAUAGCCCCGAUAGCAGCGGUUACCCCACAGCAGAUGGGGCUUCGGGGUGGCGCGAGGAGUAUGAGCGUAUAGCGGGAAACAGC